CCUACGGGUGGCAGCAGUGGGGAAUAUUGUACAAUGGGGGCAACCCUGAUGCAGCGACGCCGCGUGAGUGAAGAAGUAUUUCGGUAUGUAAAGCUCUAUCAGCCGGGAAGAAAAUGACGGUACCUGACUAAGAAGCGCCGGCUAACUACGGGCCAGCAGCCGCGGUAAUACGUAGGGGGCAAGUGGUAUCCGGGUUUACUUGGUGUAAAGGGGGCGUAGACGGGGCGGCAGGGCUGAAGUGAAAGGCAGGGGCUUAACCCCUGAACUGCUUUGGAAACUGCCAUGCUAGAGUGCUAGAGAGGUAAGUGGAAUGCCUAGUGUAGCGGUGAAAUGCGUAGAUAUUAGGAGGAACCCCAGUGGCGAAGGCGGCUUACUGGACAGCAACUGACGUUGAGGCUCGAAAGCGUGGGGAGCAAACAGGAUUAGAUACCCCUGUAGUC
RNAcentral lists this ribosomal RNA (440 nucleotides) under uncultured bacterium. RNAcentral's name for it is "partial 16S ribosomal RNA". It matches the Rfam family "Bacterial small subunit ribosomal RNA", at positions 338 to 795 of the family's 1533-position model. The record is from RNAcentral.